Molecule: ribosomal RNA, 200 nt
Filed under: uncultured eukaryote
Lineage: Eukaryota
Description: partial 18S ribosomal RNA
Rfam family: Eukaryotic small subunit ribosomal RNA
Source: RNAcentral
GCUCCAAUAGCGUAUACUAAAGUUGUUGCAGUUAAAAAGCUCGUAGUUGGAUUUCUGGUAGUGGAGUCAGGUCCGCCCCUCACGGGGUGUGUACUGGGCGUCCAUCACCAUCAUCGAGGAGAACAUGCCUGGCAUUAGUUGUUGGGUAUGGUGUCCUCGUCAUUUACUGUGAGCAAACUAGAGUGUUCAAAGCAGGCUUA